This 557-nucleotide ribosomal RNA is filed under the name Bifidobacterium breve. Its description in RNAcentral is "bacterial SSU rRNA". It matches the Rfam family "Bacterial small subunit ribosomal RNA", at positions 145 to 711 of the family's 1533-position model. Lineage: Bacteria; Bacillati; Actinomycetota; Actinomycetes; Bifidobacteriales; Bifidobacteriaceae. The record is from RNAcentral.
UUCUCCUGGAAAAGGGUGGUAAUGCCGGAUGCUCCAGUUGAUCGCAUGGUCUUUUGGGAAAGCCUUUGCGGCAUGGGAUGGGGUCGCGUCCUAUCAGCUUGAUGGCGGGGUAACGGCCCACCAUGGCUUCGACGGGUAGCCGGCCUGAGAGGGCGACCGGCCACAUUGGGACUGAGAUACGGCCCAGACUCCUACGGGAGGCAGCAGUGGGGAAUAUUGCACAAUGGGCGCAAGCCUGAUGCAGCGACGCCGCGUGAGGGAUGGAGGCCUUCGGGUUGUAAACCUCUUUUGUUAGGGAGCAAGGCAUUUUGUGUUGAGUGUACCUUUCGAAUAAGCACCGGCUAACUACGUGCCAGCAGCCGCGGUAAUACGUAGGGUGCAAGCGUUAUCCGGAAUUAUUGGGCGUAAAGGGCUCGUAGGCGGUUCGUCGCGUCCGGUGUGAAAGUCCAUCGCUUAACGGUGGAUCCGCGCCGGGUACGGGCGGGCUUGAGUGCGGUAGGGGAGACUGGAAUUCCCGGUGUAACGGUGGAAUGUGUAGAUAUCGGGAAAGAACACCA